AGAGUUUGAUCCUGGCUCAGGAUGAACGCUGGCGGCGUGCCUAAUACAUGCAAGUCGAGCGAACGGACGAGAAGCUUGCUUCUCUGAUGUUAGCGGCGGACGGGUGAGUAACACGUGGAUAACCUACCUAUAAGACUGGGAUAACUUCGGGAAACCGGAGCUAAUACCGGAUAAUAUUUUGAACCGCAUGGUUCAAAAGUGAAAGACGGUCUUGCUGUCACUUAUAGAUGGAUCCGCGCUGCAUUAGCUAGUUGGUAAGGUAACGGCUUACCAAGGCAACGAUGCAUAGCCGACCUGAGAGGGUGAUCGGCCACACUGGAACUGAGACACGGUCCAGACUCCUACGGGAGGCAGCAGUAGGGAAUCUUCCGCAAUGGGCGAAAGCCUGACGGAGCAACGCCGCGUGAGUGAUGAAGGUCUUCGGAUCGUAAAACUCUGUUAUUAGGGAAGAACAUAUGUGUAAGUAACUGUGCACAUCUUGACGGUACCUAAUCAGAAAGCCACGGCUAACUACGUGCCAGCAGCCGCGGUAAUACGUAGGUGGCAAGCGUUAUCCGGAAUUAUUGGGCGUAAAGCGCGCGUAGGCGGUUUUUUAAGUCUGAUGUGAAAGCCCACGGCUCAACCGUGGAGGGUCAUUGGAAACUGGAAAACUUGAGUGCAGAAGAGGAAAGUGGAAUUCCAUGUGUAGCGGUGAAAUGCGCAGAGAUAUGGAGGAACACCAGUGGCGAAGGCGACUUUCUGGUCUGUAACUGACGCUGAUGUGCGAAAGCGUGGGGAUCAAACAGGAUUAGAUACCCUGGUAGUCCACGCCGUAAACGAUGAGUGCUAAGUGUUAGGGGGUUUCCGCCCCUUAGUGCUGCAGCUAACGCAUUAAGCACUCCGCCUGGGGAGUACGACCGCAAGGUUGAAACUCAAAGGAAUUGACGGGGACCCGCACAAGCGGUGGAGCAUGUGGUUUAAUUCGAAGCAACGCGAAGAACCUUACCAAAUCUUGACAUCCUUUGACAACUCUAGAGAUAGAGCCUUCCCCUUCGGGGGACAAAGUGACAGGUGGUGCAUGGUUGUCGUCAGCUCGUGUCGUGAGAUGUUGGGUUAAGUCCCGCAACGAGCGCAACCCUUAAGCUUAGUUGCCAUCAUUAAGUUGGGCACUCUAAGUUGACUGCCGGUGACAAACCGGAGGAAGGUGGGGAUGACGUCAAAUCAUCAUGCCCCUUAUGAUUUGGGCUACACACGUGCUACAAUGGACAAUACAAAGGGCAGCGAAACCGCGAGGUCAAGCAAAUCCCAUAAAGUUGUUCUCAGUUCGGAUUGUAGUCUGCAACUCGACUACAUGAAGCUGGAAUCGCUAGUAAUCGUAGAUCAGC
Molecule: ribosomal RNA, 1364 nt
Filed under: Staphylococcus aureus subsp. aureus CIG149
Lineage: Bacteria; Bacillati; Bacillota; Bacilli; Caryophanales; Staphylococcaceae
Also listed under: 8 other names
Description: bacterial SSU rRNA
Rfam family: Bacterial small subunit ribosomal RNA
Source: RNAcentral